AUUGAACGCUGGCGGCAUGCCUUACACAUGCAAGUCGAACGUGAAAGCGGGGCAACCCGCAAGUAGAGUGGCGGACGGGUGAGUAAUACAUCGGAACGUGUCCAGUAAUGGGGGAUAGCCUAGCGAAAGUUAGGCUAAUACCGCAUACGAUCUGCGGAUGAAAGCGGGGGAUGCGGCACUAAAGGCUUUUGGCGAAGGUGGCCAAAGGUGAGUCAAGAGCUUUUAGUGCNGCACCUCGUGUUAUUGGAGCGGCUGAUGUCUGAUUAGCUAGUUGGUGAGGUAAAGGCUUACCAAGGCGACGAUCAGUAGCUGGUCUGAGAGGACGGCCAGCCACACUGGGACUGAGACACGGCCCAGACUCC
RNAcentral lists this ribosomal RNA (362 nucleotides) under uncultured bacterium. RNAcentral's name for it is "bacterial SSU rRNA". It matches the Rfam family "Bacterial small subunit ribosomal RNA", at positions 30 to 339 of the family's 1533-position model. The record is from RNAcentral.